UACAGAGGUGGCAAGCGUUGUUCGGAAUUAUUGGGCGUAAAGGGCGCGUAGGCGGCUUGAUAAGUCAAAGGUGAAAUCCCUCGGCUCAACUGAGGAAUUGCCUUUGAAACUGUCUGGCUCGAGGCCGGGAGGGGGUAGCGGAAUUCCCAGUGUAGCGGUGAAAUGCGUAGAUAUUGGGAGGAACACCGGUGGCGAAGGCGGCUACCUGGACCGGUUCUGACGCUGAUGCGCGAAAGCGUGGGGAGCAAACAGG
RNAcentral lists this ribosomal RNA (253 nucleotides) under uncultured bacterium. RNAcentral's name for it is "partial 16S ribosomal RNA". It matches the Rfam family "Bacterial small subunit ribosomal RNA", at positions 524 to 776 of the family's 1533-position model. The record is from RNAcentral.